ACUAGAGAUAAGAAAAAUGGAGAGAAGUGCCGCCGUGGUCGCGGGAGCUUCCGGGUCUGUGUGGCUCCACGUCUGGCCGCGCGCGAGUUCGGCGUUGCGGCGGCUCCGAGUCCUCGUCAAGCCAUGGUUUGUUUAGAGCAGGUUUCCGAGAUGGAGCAAUGCAGGAAGAGAAAGGAGCGCCAGCUACGGACUCCAGUCUUUCUGGCUGCUGCCGAGCCCCUCCGCCCAAGCCCGGGAACCCAACCACGCUCGUCGGCCGCGGUUCCUGGCUCUUACCCCGCUGCGAGGCUUCUGCGUGAGGGCGCGGCUCUCGGGCAACGGCCAGGCAGCCUUCGAAGAUCGGAGAGACGAGGUGGACGAAGGUUGUCACCUACCUCACAAGCAGAGACCCCAGGAUCAUACCUCACAUUGCAUGUGGUGGUGUUGAAGGAUAAAAAAACCACAAUUCAGAAAGUGUGGCUAAAUCUGAGAAUGCUUCUCUCCGGAGGAUACUCUUGCUGAACCACUUGGGAAUUUCUGCUAGGAGAUACCCCAGGUUUGAUGGAAGCUUAUCAAACGCCUUCUCGAUACAAAGUGCAAGCGAAUGACAUAUGCAUCGGUUCAGCUGACAAUGAGGCGAUUGCUCACGAAUUCGAGACCACACGGAGUUGUGCUCCCCAAUCAUCGCAGAUGCACCAUCGCUGCCGAACCCGAUGCAGUCAACCAGCUUCAGACCGAGUUCAUCUAGUGUGUUCCUAAGUAUUUCAAAGAGUUCUCUAUCUGUAGCCCCAACAAUGGGCUUUAGAGCAACAAAUUCAGUCACAAUAUGUAACUUUGACUGGUUGAAAUACCUGAUGACAAUACACAGAUGCUUGUCAAUAGCGAUGUCCGUUGAUUCGUCGAUGAGGAUUGCAAAUUUUUUGUUCUCGACAUCAUGCUGUUGAGUCUCCUUCAAAGCAGGGGAAAUUACUUUAGAGAUAAGUUUACUGCACUUAGCGCGAUGAACUUGAAGGUUUGCGAGUUUGCUACCUUUCCCAUUCUUCUUCAUAAAUUCUGCCAGGUGAUCAACAGUGGACAUUGCGCAGUGACACGCUAUAGUCAUAGCAAGCUCAAUUUCUAUGCGUUUGGUUAUCUCAAUAUCCUUGUCUAUUUUCGGUUUCUGAAAAAAGGGUAAUGCUGCACAAUGAGAACUAGCACUUACUCUUUCUGUAUGCCCCUUCGUUUUUUCGUGGUCCGAAAGGCGAGAAACCUUUGGUGCGAUUUGUGUCUUGCAAAGCUUGCACAAUCCGUGUUCACUUCCAUCGCUAGAUUUUGUGAGCCACAAGAACUUUUGUUCCCACGAUUUAUUAUAUUUUCU
Molecule: long non-coding RNA, 1336 nt
Filed under: Notechis scutatus (mainland tiger snake)
Lineage: Eukaryota; Metazoa; Chordata; Lepidosauria; Squamata; Elapidae
Description: lncRNA (ENSNSUG00000015573.1)
Source: RNAcentral